UCUCUGAUGUUGUUGGUUCUUCUUUUUCUUCUUCACUGUUUGGUCCAAAAUGGAGAAAGCAAAGUUGCAAAAGAAACGAAAAGUUGUUCUUGUGGGUCGUUGGGAUGUCCUUGUGAUAGGGAUUUGCCUGUUGAUGAGCUCAAAGAUUCGGCUCUCAUGCAGCAUUAUAAGAGGAUGAGGGAAUUCGUGGAUGAGACAGCAGAAGAAUAAGACGCAAUCCUGGAGUUGAAAGAAAAAUGUAAUUCUAAAUUUCAUCAAUAAAACUGCAUUUUUAAGCAA
Long non-coding RNA from Saccostrea echinata, 279 nucleotides. RefSeq lists it as uncharacterized. The record is from RefSeq and is a predicted model, not a curated record. Lineage: Eukaryota; Metazoa; Mollusca; Bivalvia; Ostreida; Ostreidae. The transcript has 3 exons.